This is a long non-coding RNA of Zonotrichia leucophrys gambelii, 1325 nucleotides long. RefSeq lists it as uncharacterized. The transcript has 3 exons. The record is from RefSeq and is a predicted model, not a curated record. Lineage: Eukaryota; Metazoa; Chordata; Aves; Passeriformes; Passerellidae.
CCUCAUGGUCAGGCGGAUGAAAUGUCAAAAGCUGUUAAGGUAACCCACCCUGCGUGUAUCCCUGAGAGAAAAAAAUGGAGCAGCGAUUUCCAUCAAUAACUCCCUGUGGAGAUUUGGAAAGGCUCCAUGUUCCCUUAAAGUACUUGGAAUUACUUCAGUCAGGGAAGCUGUCACAUCACUCAUAAAGUGCCUGUAGAGCAGCAACACUGCAGCGCCGAGCUGGUGCAGUGCACCCACAAAGAGGAUCAUUUUUAUCCUCCUUCCUUGCCAGAACCACAUUUGCUCAGGGACCUCCAGAGGAAAGCGGAUUUCUGGAAUAUCUUUGGUAACUGUGGUCCUUGGUCCCUCUUCAAUCACCUGCCACCAUCACAGACAGUUGCUCCUCACUCCUGGGCUGAAGAUGAGACCCAGAUCAGCCUCAGGCACAAAAGCAGGAGAGAGGCAGAACUUGGUUACCUCAGCUCAGAGCCACAGUCCUCAAAAAACCUUUGUGGAUGCCACUUCUCCUUGGAUAUGACCAACAUGGCCUUUGCCUCUCUUCAGGCAGCUGAAACAGGCACCUGCACACCUCAGGAGCAUUUUUGAGUGGUGCUCAAAGCACUUUCAAGUGAAGUCCCCAGAUGACAAUAAGGCAGGGCAGCCCUGGGCACACAGAAGUGCUGCUACAGAUGCUUAAACAGAUUUUGAACCCAGACACUCUGGGGGUUAGGCAGCAGCAGAUUCAUGUUACAGUUUUGUCUGCAAGACCUAACUUUACCUCUGUUCUUCUUUGGGAACCCAAAUCUUCCUCUGGAAUGAGUCUAAACCUAAACACGCUCUUGCCAGGAGCAAAGCAUCUGUCCUGUUUCCAUUCACUCUCUCCCUAUCUGGCCUGGAACUAAUCAGCCCCACAUGUCUGUGCUGUGCAGCAGUAAUUACCCUCAACCUCAAAGCAGGGGUUUCACACAUGGGCCUGGGAGAAGUCAACAGAAAAAUCUCUACCAAGAACAGAUGUGUUCACUACUGGCUGGUGGGCAAGGGCUCCAGGGGGAUCCUGGUAGCCCAAGAGGAGCAGGGGUUACUCAGUCACUAAAUGGUUCCAUUAAAUGGUUCCUUACUGUGCUCAGCUCUCUCAUGGGCCUCCACCCGACCCACUGUGUGCCCCCUGACCAUCUGAGUGCUAUUUCCAGUCCCUCCUGGUGUUGACUUUUGGUGUUUUCCCACCAAACAAACCAGCAUUGACAUCCUGAAGAGUUGACAGAGAUGUCUGUCAAGGGGGCAAUAACUUAACUUCCUUCUCCUGAACUGAACAGCCAGGCAGCCUGUGACAACAAGAGGAAAAAUGA